CGUACGGGAGGCAGCAGUGGGGAAUAUUGCGCAAUGGGCGAAAGCAUGACGCAGCCAUGCCGCGUGUGUGAAGAAGGCCCUAGGGUUGUAAGGCACUUUCAAUAGGGAGAAAAGGCUCACGGUUAAUACCCGUGAGAGUUGAUGUUACCUAUAGAAGAAGCACCGGCUAACUCCGUGCCAGCAGCCGCGGUAAUACGGAGGGUGCGAGCGUUAAUCGGAAUUACUGGGCGUAAAGGGUGUGUAGGUGGCUGAGCAAGUCUUAGAUGAAAUCCCGAGGCCUACCCUCGGAACUGUCUUCGAUACUGCUCAGCUUGAGGAUGGUUGAGGAGAACGGAAUUCCCGGUGGAGCGGUGAAAUGCGUAGAUAUCGGGAGGAACACCAGAGGCGAAGGCGGUUCUCUGGGCCAUUCCUGACACUGAGACACGAAAGCUAGGGGAGCAAACGGGAUUAGAUACCCCGGUAGUCCUAGCCGUAAACGAUGGGCACUAGAUGUUUCCGCUUUAAUGUGGGAGUGUCGUAGCUAACGCGUUAAGUGCCCCGCCUGGGGAGUACGGUCGCAAGGCUGAAACUCAAAUGAAUUGACGGA
This 586-nucleotide ribosomal RNA is filed under the name uncultured bacterium. Its description in RNAcentral is "bacterial SSU rRNA". It matches the Rfam family "Bacterial small subunit ribosomal RNA", at positions 338 to 917 of the family's 1533-position model. The record is from RNAcentral.